UAUACUCUUCAAAUUUUGACUGCCCUUCUAACAAAUUCUCCAAAUAGGUUGCAGGAGGCUAUUUUGAUCAUUCCCCGUGGUAUAACUCGCCUCAUGGAUAUGCUUAUGGAUCGAGAGGUUAUACGAAAUGAGGCCUUAUUGCUUCUUACUUACCUGACUAGAGAAGCUGAGGAGAUUCAAAAAAUUGUGGUCUUUGAGGGCGC
This 203-nucleotide unclassified non-coding RNA is filed under the name Hevea brasiliensis (rubber tree). Lineage: Eukaryota; Viridiplantae; Streptophyta; Magnoliopsida; Malpighiales; Euphorbiaceae. The record is from RNAcentral.